GUUUGACCUAGAUCUAGAUCUAGACCUACUUUGAGUGGAAGCAGACGUGUUGUUAUUGAUGUUACUGGAUACAAAUAUUUCUUGUUCAAUCAUCUACUUUUUUGGAUAAUUUAAUGUGAUUCAACUAUUGGAUAUUCCUUACAACUUGGAUUAUUGAAAUAGCACGGAUUAUUGGAGCAGAUUGGAUUAUUUAUUACUCAAAGAACCUAAGACAAAGGACCUCCAUCCUAUAUCCUUAGGAAUUCUCUGGGGUCUGCUAGAGUUACAAAAAUGUACAUAUUAUGAAACAAUUUGGUUUCUAUAAAGUACAGAGCUCAAAGUUUUUUCUUUGAAAAUGGAGUCAUCCCAAAGAUAAGUCUGUAAGAUAUUUCUUUAGCUUUUGUUGCAAUGUGUUUGUUAUGAAGGUUAGUAAAAGUGUCUUUAAAAUCUGUUAUAUUUAAAUCUUUUCCCCAUUUAAUCCUAAUAGCUAAAUUUUCUUGUAACUGUUUUUUUAAUGUUGUGUAUAUUUCUUUAUAUUUAUUGUGUAUUGAAGGUUCAUUGCU
This is a long non-coding RNA of Biomphalaria glabrata, 542 nucleotides long. RefSeq lists it as uncharacterized. The record is from RefSeq and is a predicted model, not a curated record. The transcript has 3 exons. Lineage: Eukaryota; Metazoa; Mollusca; Gastropoda; Planorbidae.